RNAcentral lists this long non-coding RNA (614 nucleotides) under Olea europaea (common olive). Its description in RNAcentral is "long non-coding RNA (OEUR_LNC000611)". Lineage: Eukaryota; Viridiplantae; Streptophyta; Magnoliopsida; Lamiales; Oleaceae. The record is from RNAcentral.
AGAGAAAGAAAGGAAAGAGGUAGUUCAAGGUUCAUUUCCAUUUUUCCUCUCUUUUUAUUUUCUUCAAGAGGUAGAUAUAUUUUAUGUUAAAUUCUAGGGUUUUAUUUUGGCUCCAAAAUUUUCAGAUUUUUGAGAGGAAUACUAGUUGGAGCUCAAGUUAUUAAUUCUUGAAUUUCUAUCUACACUAAGGUAAGGAGAUAUUAUUUUUUUGGGCAAACCCUAGUUUUUAAAUUUGAUGAUUGAGCAUGGAUUAUUUGUGGAAAUGAUUACAUUAAUGGAAUUGUUCACUUGGCAGAAUGAUUUUGGGGAAUGAUAGAUAUAUUAAUUUGGUUGUAUUAUGAUUUCUUGUUUUUCACUAAAAUGAAAGGGACAAAUAUUGUUAUGAUUGUAAUGAAGUUAAAUUUGGAUGUGGUAUAUGAUUAUGAAGGUAUUAGAAAGUGGAAAUUAGUUUCGACUGAUUAAAGGAAAUUUAGGAAAAUUUCGCAAGUCUCGGGGAAUUUAGUUUAAUUAUUAUAUGAUUAGAGAUUAAAUGUUUCUUUAUUUUAGUAGUGAUUAAAUUAGUUAUUUGUAACGUAUUACAGGUGGUGACGAAGAAUUGGAAAAGCUUACCGACU